Molecule: ribosomal RNA, 2906 nt
Filed under: Escherichia coli
Lineage: Bacteria; Pseudomonadati; Pseudomonadota; Gammaproteobacteria; Enterobacterales; Enterobacteriaceae
Description: 23S ribosomal RNA
Rfam family: Bacterial large subunit ribosomal RNA
Source: RNAcentral
GGUUAAGCGACUAAGCGUACACGGUGGAUGCCCUGGCAGUCAGAGGCGAUGAAGGACGUGCUAAUCUGCGAUAAGCGUCGGUAAGGUGAUAUGAACCGUUAUAACCGGCGAUUUCCGAAUGGGGAAACCCAGUGUGAUUCGUCACACUAUCAUUAACUGAAUCCAUAGGUUAAUGAGGCGAACCGGGGGAACUGAAACAUCUAAGUACCCCGAGGAAAAGAAAUCAACCGAGAUUCCCCCAGUAGCGGCGAGCGAACGGGGAGCAGCCCAGAGCCUGAAUCAGUGUGUGUGUUAGUGGAAGCGUCUGGAAAGGCGCGCGAUACAGGGUGACAGCCCCGUACACAAAAAUGCACAUACUGUGAGCUCGAUGAGUAGGGCGGGACACGUGGUAUCCUGUCUGAAUAUGGGGGGACCAUCCUCCAAGGCUAAAUACUCCUGACUGACCGAUAGUGAACCAGUACCGUGAGGGAAAGGCGAAAAGAACCCCGGCGAGGGGAGUGAAAAAGAACCUGAAACCGUGUACGUACAAGCAGUGGGAGCACAGAGCAAUCUGUGUGACUGCGUACCUUUUGUAUAAUGGGUCAGCGACUUAUAUUCUGUAGCAAGGUUAACCGAAUAGGGGAGCCGAAGGGAAACCGAGUCUUAACUGGGCGUUAAGUUGCAGGGUAUAGACCCGAAACCCGGUGAUCUAGCCAUGGGCAGGUUGAAGGUUGGGUAACACUAACUGGAGGACCGAACCGACUAAUGUUGAAAAAUUAGCGGAUGACUUGUGGCUGGGGGUGAAAGGCCAAUCAAACCGGGAGAUAGCUGGUUCUCCCCGAAAGCUAUUUAGGUAGCGCCUCGUGAAUUCAUCUCCGGGGGUAGAGCACUGUUUCGGCAAGGGGGUCAUCCCGACUUACCAACCCGAUGCAAACUGCGAAUACCGGAGAAUGUUAUCACGGGAGACACACGGCGGGUGCUAACGUCCGUCGUGAAGAGGGAAACAACCCAGACCGCCAGCUAAGGUCCCAAAGUCAUGGUUAAGUGGGAAACGAUGUGGGAAGGCCCAGACAGCCAGGAUGUUGGCUUAGAAGCAGCCAUCAUUUAAAGAAAGCGUAAUAGCUCACUGGUCGAGUCGGCCUGCGCGGAAGAUGUAACGGGGCUAAACCAUGCACCGAAGCUGCGGCAGCGACGCUUAUGCGUUGUUGGGUAGGGGAGCGUUCUGUAAGCCUGUGAAGGUGUACUGUGAGGUAUGCUGGAGGUAUCAGAAGUGCGAAUGCUGACAUAAGUAACGAUAAAGCGGGUGAAAAGCCCGCUCGCCGGAAGACCAAGGGUUCCUGUCCAACGUUAAUCGGGGCAGGGUGAGUCGACCCCUAAGGCGAGGCCGAAAGGCGUAGUCGAUGGGAAACAGGUUAAUAUUCCUGUACUUGGUGUUACUGCGAAGGGGGGACGGAGAAGGCUAUGUUGGCCGGGCGACGGUUGUCCCGGUUUAAGCGUGUAGGCUGGUUUUCCAGGCAAAUCCGGAAAAUCAAGGCUGAGGCGUGAUGACGAGGCACUACGGUGCUGAAGCAACAAAUGCCCUGCUUCCAGGAAAAGCCUCUAAGCAUCAGGUAACAUCAAAUCGUACCCCAAACCGACACAGGUGGUCAGGUAGAGAAUACCAAGGCGCUUGAGAGAACUCGGGUGAAGGAACUAGGCAAAAUGGUGCCGUAACUUCGGGAGAAGGCACGCUGAUAUGUAGGUGAAGUCCCUCGCGGAUGGAGCUGAAAUCAGUCGAAGAUACCAGCUGGCUGCAACUGUUUAUUAAAAACACAGCACUGUGCAAACACGAAAGUGGACGUAUACGGUGUGACGCCUGCCCGGUGCCGGAAGGUUAAUUGAUGGGGUCAGCGCAAGCGAAGCUCUUGAUCGAAGCCCCGGUAAACGGCGGCCGUAACUAUAACGGUCCUAAGGUAGCGAAAUUCCUUGUCGGGUAAGUUCCGACCUGCACGAAUGGCGUAAUGAUGGCCAGGCUGUCUCCACCCGAGACUCAGUGAAAUUGAACUCGCUGUGAAGAUGCAGUGUACCCGCGGCAAGACGGAAAGACCCCGUGAACCUUUACUAUAGCUUGACACUGAACAUUGAGCCUUGAUGUGUAGGAUAGGUGGGAGGCUUUGAAGUGUGGACGCCAGUCUGCAUGGAGCCGACCUUGAAAUACCACCCUUUAAUGUUUGAUGUUCUAACGUUGACCCGUAAUCCGGGUUGCGGACAGUGUCUGGUGGGUAGUUUGACUGGGGCGGUCUCCUCCUAAAGAGUAACGGAGGAGCACGAAGGUUGGCUAAUCCUGGUCGGACAUCAGGAGGUUAGUGCAAUGGCAUAAGCCAGCUUGACUGCGAGCGUGACGGCGCGAGCAGGUGCGAAAGCAGGUCAUAGUGAUCCGGUGGUUCUGAAUGGAAGGGCCAUCGCUCAACGGAUAAAAGGUACUCCGGGGAUAACAGGCUGAUACCGCCCAAGAGUUCAUAUCGACGGCGGUGUUUGGCACCUCGAUGUCGGCUCAUCACAUCCUGGGGCUGAAGUAGGUCCCAAGGGUAUGGCUGUUCGCCAUUUAAAGUGGUACGCGAGCUGGGUUUAGAACGUCGUGAGACAGUUCGGUCCCUAUCUGCCGUGGGCGCUGGAGAACUGAGGGGGGCUGCUCCUAGUACGAGAGGACCGGAGUGGACGCAUCACUGGUGUUCGGGUUGUCAUGCCAAUGGCACUGCCCGGUAGCUAAAUGCGGAAGAGAUAAGUGCUGAAAGCAUCUAAGCACGAAACUUGCCCCGAGAUGAGUUCUCCCUGACUCCUUGAGAGUCCUGAAGGAACGUUGAAGACGACGACGUUGAUAGGCCGGGUGUGUAAGCGCAGCGAUGCGUUGAGCUAACCGGUACUAAUGAACCGUGAGGCUUAACCUU